Sarcophilus harrisii (Tasmanian devil) is the source of this 165-nucleotide small nuclear RNA. Its record names the gene U1. It matches the Rfam family "U1 spliceosomal RNA". Rfam says of the family: U1 is a small nuclear RNA (snRNA) component of the spliceosome (involved in pre-mRNA splicing). Its 5' end forms complementary base pairs with the 5' splice junction, thus defining the 5' donor site of an intron. The record is from Ensembl. Lineage: Eukaryota; Metazoa; Chordata; Mammalia; Dasyuromorphia; Dasyuridae.
UUGGUUUUCUGGUAGGGGUGAUUCCAGAUCACAAAGGUAGUUUCCCCAAGGUGAUGAGGCUUAUCCAUUGCACUUGGGAUGGGCUGACCCCUGUGAUUUCCCCAAAUGUGAGUAAACUCAACUGCAUAAUUUGUGAUAGUGGAUUGCGAUUUGUUCUCCCCUAUU